UACGGGGGGGGCAAGCGUUGUUCGGAAUUACUGGGCGUAAAGGGCGCGUAGGCGGUUCGCUAAGUUGGAUGUGAAAACUCUGGGCUUAACCCAGAGCCUGCAUCCAAAACUGGCAAACUUGAGUACUGGAGGGGAAAGCGGAAUUCCUGGUGUAGCGGUGAAAUGCGUAGAUAUCAGGAGGAACACCUAUUGCGAAGGCAGCUCGCUGGGACGUUACUGACGCUGAGACGCGAAAGCGUGGGGAGCAAACAGG
RNAcentral lists this ribosomal RNA (253 nucleotides) under uncultured bacterium. RNAcentral's name for it is "partial 16S ribosomal RNA". It matches the Rfam family "Bacterial small subunit ribosomal RNA", at positions 524 to 776 of the family's 1533-position model. The record is from RNAcentral.